AGCAGUCACGCUGCCAAGCACAGAACAUGUACUGCAGCACUGGCAUGUCCAGGCAGAGACACUGACAAUCAAUGCAUACAUUAUAACUCCUGCUGAAUACUCUUAUAUAGGCCACCCAGAAGAUGACAGUGAUCCUGUACAUCUAAUGGGCCACAUGUCUUGUCAGCAGAAAACUGAAGCAGCACAGAAUAAAGUCUCCUAUCUGCUCUUCUCUUCAGUAGCCUCAGGCAGAAGUCCAAAGCAUUUCAGUUUAAGCAGUGACUUUAAAAAUAUGGUGUACAAGGAGAAGUGUGAGAUCAGCUUCCUCCUGCCAGAAUACCACAGGCUGGAUUUUGAGCGUGGGAUUGGAGUGGACAGAUUCACAUCUUGACUGAAGAUGCAGAAUUGGGUCACACACACAGAUGCUGCAAGGAGAUGAAAUCUGCCUGACUUAGCGGCAGCUCUUUCUCAAAUCCUGCUCUCUGCCAAUGCACCUGAGCACAGAGCAAUAGUCCUGCUUUGG
Empidonax traillii (willow flycatcher) is the source of this 502-nucleotide long non-coding RNA. RefSeq lists it as uncharacterized. The record is from RefSeq and is a predicted model, not a curated record. The transcript has 2 exons. NCBI's taxonomy places the organism in Eukaryota, Metazoa, Chordata, Aves, Passeriformes, Tyrannidae.